Molecule: unclassified non-coding RNA, 1375 nt
Filed under: Hevea brasiliensis (rubber tree)
Lineage: Eukaryota; Viridiplantae; Streptophyta; Magnoliopsida; Malpighiales; Euphorbiaceae
Source: RNAcentral
UUCCCUUCGCUCUUUCCAUUCAUCAAUAACAAGCCCUUCACCUACAACUCUGGGGCCUGUGUCUUCAGGAGGCUUCUUGCGUGCCUCUAGCUCAGCUUCUGCUUCAGCCAAUUGUCUCCGAAGUUUUUCUAGUGCAGGGUUAGAGCAUUCCGGAUCAAGAAAAAUGACACGCAAAAUUUGUUCAACAGCUACUUGAUCCUUCUGCUCGUCAAACAUCUCAGGCACAUAUUCCAUUUCUCCUUUGACUUUUAAGCUCAUGAUCUUGAACUUGACCCUGCUUUUUUGAUCCAAUGGUUUCUCAUUGUUCUCAGGAGGCUCCACAAAUUUGAAUACUGUUAAUUAGGCCAUGAUUCAGAAAGUAAUUAAUCCCUUAAAUCUAAAUUGUUACUGAAAUAGUAUAUGAUCCUUUGUACAAAGGGAAGGAAAGCCAGAAUUUGUAAAGAUUUGAUGAAUUACCAGUAGCAAUAAGACUUUCACCUGGAGCAAGUAUACCUCCGGGAGGUCUCAUGUAACAACUCUUUGGUGCAGUUGUUUGGAACUACAGAAACCAAUAAGAAUGUCCAAUAAUUUGUUGAACUAGGUAAUAGAUUAAACAGCAUCUCAAUUUACAAUAGUACAAUGUGAUACAAGUAACAUCAAUUAAGUUAUUAUUAAAUACUUUAUGCUUUAUUGAAACAUUUUCAGCAGCAUGAGAACAAGAAGAAAAAUUGACCAAUAUGCAUCAAAUUUACAAAAUUUAGUGCAGUAGUUUUAAAUGAACAACUUUGUUUUAAUAUAUAGAUUAGGUGUUCCACUACUCAGUCUGCACUCAUAGGUGGUACAGCUAACACAUGGGUCCCAAUUGGCACAAUUCAGGCCUUUUUUUUUUUUUCAAAUUUAAGCAGAAAGUGCUAAUAUUGUCACAUUGCCGUUAGCUCCUUUGAUCCAGGUUGGCAUCAGAAUUAUUGAAGAACUACUUAUGAAACUGAAUUAUUGAAGAACUACUUAUGAAACUAUCAUAUCCACGAUUUGAGAAUAGAAAAUAGUAUAAACAAUGAACAGAGAAAUCGAUUUGACAAUAUUCCAUACCUUGAAAGCCACAUGAGAUUUAGAAAUGUUUUUAAUGCCAAUAGCACUCCUCACCUGUUUACCCGGUUCAUAAGGAAAGUAGAGCUUGUUAGAAGGAUCAAGCCUAAGUCUUCUUCUUGUUGGCAAAAGAGACUUGGCUACAAGAGACACCGCAUUGGUAGAAUAAACAAUCGAUCUCUCUGCUCCUCCUAGCUGGUGAGUCUGGCUCUGCUGGCAAGCGUUACUGCCGGUGAUACUAUUAUUACUGCUCAUAGAACUGGAAGACGUGCAAGUGGAAGAAGAAGAGGAAGAGGAAGAGGAGGAAGAA